AAGAAUGUCCCCCCUAACACACUUACCAUGGAGAAAAUUCAGAGGUUUGGAAGUGUUUUAUUUACAGACAUCCAUUAUUGUCUGUGCCUCUGCACCCACCAUGCAUCAAGGACAACUCAAAGUGGAGUUUAUAACACUGCAUGACCAUACAAAGGAUCUGAGUGAGGACUUUUGCAGAGGGCUCCAUUUACCUAUAACAAUGUUUGUUUUGUUUUGUUUUUUUUAAAUGUAAAAGGUUUGAAUAUUUAAAUAAAAGUGUCAGACUUUA
Xiphias gladius (swordfish) is the source of this 268-nucleotide long non-coding RNA. RefSeq lists it as uncharacterized. The transcript has 2 exons. Lineage: Eukaryota; Metazoa; Chordata; Actinopteri; Istiophoriformes; Xiphiidae. The record is from RefSeq and is a predicted model, not a curated record.